RNAcentral lists this long non-coding RNA (450 nucleotides) under Coturnix japonica (Japanese quail). RNAcentral describes it as "lncRNA (ENSCJPG00005004809.1)". Lineage: Eukaryota; Metazoa; Chordata; Aves; Galliformes; Phasianidae. The record is from RNAcentral.
AAAUAAUAUUCAACUUUGAUUGGUAAAGUUGAAACAAAACCUUUUGCUGCAGUUUGGAUCUGGCAGAGUAGAAGAAAACAUAUCUCUUAAAAUGAAUCCAAACUCUUUCAGGAGGAACUUCCUUUAGUUUUGUGCUUCUGUUGGCUUCUGUAAACUGUGGAUCAGUGCCGCCAGUAAAUGGGAUAUACCAGCAAGGUGGAUGGGCAUCCAUUUCAGGAAGGAAGAUGGAAGACACAUCUGGAAACUGUGGGUUUUGCAACACUGAAUGUCUUUAAAGCUGUCUGGACUGAAGACUUUGCCUGUUUAAAAUGUUUUGGAAUCCAUCCACUUUGGCUUUUCUCUGGAUUUUUCAUGGCAUUGAAAAAUGCAGUUGGACAUUUAUCCCACUUAUUGGAGCCCUCAAUUUUAUUUCCAUCUGGAAUCACACACCAAUACUUGUGGGGCAAUUAA